This 720-nucleotide ribosomal RNA is filed under the name Saprolegnia sp. 1 APM-2013. Its description in RNAcentral is "eukaryotic LSU rRNA". It matches the Rfam family "Eukaryotic large subunit ribosomal RNA", at positions 34 to 656 of the family's 3401-position model. The record is from RNAcentral. Lineage: Eukaryota; Oomycota; Saprolegniomycetes; Saprolegniales; Saprolegniaceae.
UUAAGCAUAUCAUUAAGCGGAGGAAAAGAAACUAACAAGGAUUCCCCCAGUAACGGCGAGUGAAGCGGGAAGAGCUCAAGCUUAAAAUCUCCAUACUUGUAUGGCGAAUUGUAGUCUAUUGAGGCUGUUGUCAGCAUCGCGAUUGGGGACAAGUCCCUUGGAAAAGGGCAGCAUAGAGGGUGAUACUCCCGUCUCUGCUCCAAUCUGCGGUGUGUACGAUACGCUUUCUUUGAGUCGAGUUGUUUGGGAAUACAGCUCAAAGUAGGUGGUAAAUUCCAUCUAAAGCUAAAUAUUGGUGCGAGACCGAUAGCGAACAAGUACCGUGAGGGAAAGAUGAAAAGAACUUUGAAAAGAGAGUUAAAGAGUACCUGAAACUGUUGAAAGGGAACCGUAUCGUUUCCAGUGUUGUAUCCUAUGCAUAUUUCAUUCGCGGAGUAAUUUGCGGGUGCCCUGUGCAUGGGUGUGACGUCAGGGUCAGUUUGUAUGCUGCGGGAGAUGGUCAGUGAGGAGGUGCGUCACUUCGGUGAAAGUUAUAUCUCGCUGUCUAGUAGCCGUGGUUGAGACUGAGGUGCCUACAACAUGCCUUAAGGUUCCGUGUUGUCUCGUGUUGGUGACUGCUUUGAUAGCUUGCUAUGUCUGUGGUUUAUCAGUGCGAUUGAUGAUGCGGAUAACUUUUGCUGUUCGGGACUCUGGCGAAAUGGAGCGAUACGACCCGUCUUG